Molecule: long non-coding RNA, 568 nt
Organism: Thunnus maccoyii (southern bluefin tuna)
Lineage: Eukaryota; Metazoa; Chordata; Actinopteri; Scombriformes; Scombridae
Exons: 3
Source: RefSeq, a predicted model, not a curated record
CUGCAGGGGAACAGGGGAUGUGACACACUGUGACCUGAAGCGUCUCUGAAGCUGCUGAGUCGCCUGUUUGAUCUGCAUUUGGAAAUUGUCUUCCAUACAAAUCAGAGUUUAGCCUGCCCCCAUCACAGCCUGCUGUCUGUCACACACGUCAGAGCAACACUGCAGUGUCUAUCAAACGUAACUGACAAACAUUCCUUUUGCUAUCAGGAGUCACAGCAGUGAAGAAUAUGAGUCAAUCCAGGGGCCGGUCUCCUAAAUGGAAUCAUAAUGCAGCUGGAGAGGAACGAGGUUAAUAAAUGAGGGCAGGAAAGAGAAGAGAAAGACGAGCAGCAGCAGGAGGAUGAGGAAGAGGAAGAUCAAUGUUUACUGGAAGGUGAAACCUGUGAACGUGCAGCCUGCCUGUGACCCCAGCUCACUGAUGCAGCACAGGCCUGAAUCGAUCCAGUCCUGUCUACUGACCACACUGACAUGUUGGAAGGUUACAGUGGUGUUGACAGGGAGCACACUGCAUUGAUGCUGCUGCACAGCAUUCAAACCUUCAACUAUGGAAGCACAACUUAUACUAACA